GGCAGAGAUUCUAUCUCGAAGGUUGGCUCGACUUGCUUCGUUAGCUGUUGUUCCCCCAUUUAGAGAACUUGCAUAUCAAUAUUUCCCUUCAGAACUUCAACUAUCUGUCUCAUUUCUGGUCGAUCUUGUGGAUUAUCACGUAAACAGGCUAAGGCACAAGCAAUCAUUCGAUUCAUUUCAUUUUUGUUAUAUGCCUUUAACCUCUUGUCAACAAAAUC
This 218-nucleotide unclassified non-coding RNA is filed under the name Hevea brasiliensis (rubber tree). The record is from RNAcentral. Lineage: Eukaryota; Viridiplantae; Streptophyta; Magnoliopsida; Malpighiales; Euphorbiaceae.